GGAUUAGAUACCCUGGUAGUCCACACCGUAAACGAUGAAUGCCAGUCGUCGGGUAGCAUGCUAUUCGGUGACACACCUAACGGAUUAAGCAUUCCACCUGGGGAGUACGUUCGCAAGAAUGAAACUCAAAGGAAUUGACGGGGGCCCGCACAAGCGGUGGAGCAUGUGGUUUAAUUCGAUGAUACGCGAGGAACCUUACCUGGGCUACAAUGCCUCUGACAGACGCCGAAAGGUGUUUUUCCUUCGGGACAGAGUGCAAGGUGCUGCAUGGUUGUCGUCAGCUCGUGCUG
This 290-nucleotide ribosomal RNA is filed under the name uncultured bacterium. RNAcentral's name for it is "partial 16S ribosomal RNA". It matches the Rfam family "Bacterial small subunit ribosomal RNA", at positions 775 to 1067 of the family's 1533-position model. The record is from RNAcentral.